RNAcentral lists this ribosomal RNA (2807 nucleotides) under Lactiplantibacillus plantarum. RNAcentral's name for it is "bacterial LSU rRNA". It matches the Rfam family "Bacterial large subunit ribosomal RNA". The record is from RNAcentral. Lineage: Bacteria; Bacillati; Bacillota; Bacilli; Lactobacillales; Lactobacillaceae. RNAcentral also lists the same sequence under 4 other names.
AGGGCGCAUGGUGAAUGCCUUGGCACUAGGAGCCGAUGAAGGACGGGACUAACACCGAUAUGCUUCGGGGAGCUGUACGUAAGCUAUGAUCCGGAGAUUUCCGAAUGGGGCAACCCAGCAGUUUUAAUCAACUGUUACCACUAGAUGAAUUCAUAGUCUAGUUGGAGGUAAACGCUGUGAACUGAAACAUCUCAUUAGCAGCAGGAAUAUAAAGAAAUUUCGAUUCCCUAAGUAGCGGCGAGCGAACGGGGAACAGCCCAAACCAAAGUGCUUGCACUUUGGGGUUGUAGGACUGAACAUUUGAGUUACCAAAGAACUUGAUAGUCGAAGGAUUUGGGAAAAUCCGCCAUAGAUGGUGAUAGCCCAGUAGAUUAAAUCAAAUUCUCUCAGUUCAGGAUCCUGAGUACGGCGGAACACGUGAAAUUCCGUCGGAAUCCGGGAGGACCAUCUCCCAAGGCUAAAUACUACCUAGUGACCGAUAGUGAACCAGUACCGUGAGGGAAAGGUGAAAAGCACCCCGGGAGGGGAGUGAAAUAGUUCCUGAAACCAUGUGCCUACAAUAAGUCAGAGCGCGUUAAUGCGUGAUGGCGUGCCUUUUGUAGAAUGAACCGGCGAGUUAUGAUCCCGUGCAAGGUUAAGACUAAAAAGUCGGAGCCGUAGCGAAAGCGAGUCUGAAAUGGGCGUUUUGAGUACGAGGUUAUAGACCCGAAACCAGGUGACCUAUCCAUGUCCAGGUUGAAGGUGCGGUAAAACGCACUGGAGGACCGAACCCGUGUAAGUUGAAAAUUGCUGGGAUGAGGUGUGGAUAGCGGUGAAAUUCCAAACGAACUUGGAGAUAGCUGGUUCUCUCCGAAAUAGCUUUAGGGCUAGCCUCGGAAUUAGGAUCAUGGAGGUAGAGCACUAUUUGGACUAGGGGCCCGUCUUGGGUUACUGAAUUCAGAUAAACUCCGAAUGCCAUUGAUUCAUAUCCGGGAGUCAGACGAUGAGUGAUAAGAUCCACCGUCGAAAGGGGAACAGCCCAGACCAUCAGUUAAGGUCCCUAAAUGUAUGCUAAGUGGAAAAGGAUGUGGAGUUGCAUAGACAACUAGGAUGUUGGCUCAGAAGCAGCCACCAUUUAAAGAGUGCGUAAUAGCUCACUAGUCGAGUGAUCCUGCGCCGAAAAUGUACCGGGGCUAAGCAUACUACCGAAACCAUGGAUGCGACCAUUAGGUCGCGUGAUAGGAGAGCGUUCUAAGGGCGGUGAAGCAAGAUCGUGAGGACUUGUGGAGCGCUUAGAAGUGAGAAUGCCGGUAUGAGUAGCGAAAGAUAGGUGAGAAUCCUAUCCACCGAAUGACUAAGGUUUCCUGGGGAAGGCUCGUCCUCCCAGGGUUAGUCGGGACCUAAGUCGAGGCCGAGAGGCGUAGACGAUGGAUAACAGGUUGAGAUUCCUGUACUAGUUAAGUGCGUUUGAGCAAUGGAGGGACGCAGGAGGCUAAGAUGUGCAUUCUGUUGGAUUAGAAUGUCCAAGCAGUAAGUCUUGUGAAGAGUCAAAUGCUUUUCACUUUAAGGACAAGCUGUGAUGGGGAGCGAAAUUUAGUAGCGAAGCGUCUGAUGUCACACUGCCGAGAAAAGCUUCUAGUGAGUACUUAACUACCCGUACCGCAAACCGACACAGGUAGUCGAGGAGAGAAUCCUAAGGUGAGCGAGUGAACUCUCGUUAAGGAACUCGGCAAAAUGACCCCGUAACUUCGGGAGAAGGGGUGCUGAUCGCAAGAUCAGCCGCAGUGAAUAGGCCCAGGCGACUGUUUAUCAAAAACACAGGUCUCUGCAAAAUCGUAAGAUGACGUAUAGGGGCUGACGCCUGCCCGGUGCUGGAAGGUUAAAAGGAUGGGUUAGCUUCGGCGAAGCUCAGAAUUGAAGCCCCAGUAAACGGCGGCCGUAACUAUAACGGUCCUAAGGUAGCGAAAUUCCUUGUCGGGUAAGUUCCGACCCGCACGAAAGGCGUAACGAUCUGGGCACUGUCUCAACGAGAGACUCGGUGAAAUUAUAUUGUCCGUGAAGAUGCGGACUACCCGCGACAGGACGGAAAGACCCCAUGGAGCUUUACUGUAGCUUGAUAUUGAGUGUUUGUACAGCUUGUACAGGAUAGGUAGGAGCCAUAGAAACCGGAACGCUAGUUUCGGUGGAGGCGUUGGUGGGAUACUACCCUCGCUGUAUGACCACUCUAACCCGCACCACUAAUCGUGGUGGGAGACAGUGUCAGGUGGGCAGUUUGACUGGGGCGGUCGCCUCCUAAAAAGUAACGGAGGCGCCCAAAGGUUCCCUCAGAAUGGUUGGAAAUCAUUCGCAGAGUGUAAAGGCACAAGGGAGCUUGACUGCGAGACAGACAGGUCGAGCAGGGACGAAAGUCGGGCUUAGUGAUCCGGUGGUACCGUAUGGAAGGGCCAUCGCUCAACGGAUAAAAGCUACCCUGGGGAUAACAGGCUUAUCUCCCCCAAGAGUCCACAUCGACGGGGAGGUUUGGCACCUCGAUGUCGGCUCAUCGCAUCCUGGGGCUGUAGUCGGUCCCAAGGGUUGGGCUGUUCGCCCAUUAAAGCGGUACGCGAGCUGGGUUCAGAACGUCGUGAGACAGUUCGGUCCCUAUCCGUCGCGGGCGUAGGAAAUUUGAGAGGACCUGUCCUUAGUACGAGAGGACCGGGAUGGACAUACCUCUGGUGUACCAGUUGUGCCGCCAGGCGCAUCGCUGGGUAGCUACGUAUGGAUGUGAUAAACGCUGAAAGCAUCUAAGUGUGAAACACACCUCGAGAUGAGAUUUCCCAUUCCUUUAU